Molecule: non-coding RNA, 99 nt
Filed under: Methylocella silvestris
Lineage: Bacteria; Pseudomonadati; Pseudomonadota; Alphaproteobacteria; Hyphomicrobiales; Beijerinckiaceae
Also listed under: 1 other name
Description: Glycine sequence
Rfam family: Glycine riboswitch aptamer
About the family: This family represents the bacterial glycine riboswitch.
Source: RNAcentral
UUCCUCUCAGCGGAAGAGUCCGGUUUGGCUUUAGGCCGAGCCGGCGCCGAAGGCGCAACCGCCCCGGAAACGCUCAGGCCCACGGACCGCUGAGAGUUG